GUUGUAUGGUUAAGUGACUAAGCGUACACGGUGGAUGCCUUGGCAGUCAGAGGCGAUGAAAGACGUAGUAACUUGCGAUAAGCCCAGAUUAGGUAGUAACAACCAUUUGAGUCUGGGAUUUCUGAAUGGGGAAACCCACGUGCAUAAGCACGUAUCCUUACCUGAAUACAUAGGGUAAGGAGGCGAACCGGGGGAACUGAAACAUCUAAGUACCCCGAGGAAAAGAAAUCAACCGAGAUUCCGAAAGUAGCGGCGAGCGAAAUUGGACUAGCCCUUAAGCUUUACACGCGUUAGACGAACGGUCUGGAAAGUCCGACGAUACAGGGUGAUAGUCCCGUAGUUGACGACGUGUGUUCAGUGAAAUCGAGUAGGGCGGGACACGUGAUAUCCUGUCUGAAUAUGGGGGGACCAUCCUCCAAGGCUAAAUACUACUGACUGACCGAUAGUGAACCAGUACCGUGAGGGAAAGGCGAAAAGAACCCCUGUGAGGGGAGUGAAAUAGAACCUGAAACCGUGUACGUACAAGCAGUAGGAGCAGGCUUUGUCCUGUGACUGCGUACCUUUUGUAUAAUGGGUCAGCGACUUAUAUUCAGUGGCAAGGUUAACCAUCUAGGGGAGCCGUAGGGAAACCGAGUCUUAACUGGGCGUUCAGUCUCUGGAUAUAGACCCGAAACCAGGUGAUCUAGCCAUGGGCAGGUUGAAGGUUGAGUAACAUCAACUGGAGGACCGAACCGACUAAUGUUGAAAAAUUAGCGGAUGACUUGUGGCUAGGGGUGAAAGGCCAAUCAAACCUGGAGAUAGCUGGUUCUCCCCGAAAGCUAUUUAGGUAGCGCCUCGGACGAAUACUACUGGGGGUAGAGCACUGUUAAGGCUAGGGGGUCAUCCCGACUUACCAACCCUUUGCAAACUCCGAAUACCAGUAAGUACUAUCCGGGAGACACACGGCGGGUGCUAACGUCCGUCGUGGAGAGGGAAACAACCCAGACCGCCAGCUAAGGUCCCAAAUUACUACUAAGUGGGAAACGAUGUGGGAAGGCUCAGACAGCCAGGAUGUUGGCUUAGAAGCAGCCAUCAUUUAAAGAAAGCGUAAUAGCUCACUGGUCGAGUCGGCCUGCGCGGAAGAUGUAACGGGGCUAAGUAGUAAACCGAAGCUGCGGCAAUAUACUUUUGUAUAUUGGGUAGGGGAGCGUUCUGUAAGCGGUUGAAGGUGUGUGGUAACGCAUGCUGGACGUAUCAGAAGUGCGAAUGCUGACAUGAGUAACGAUAAAGGGGGUGAAAAACCUCCUCGCCGGAAGACCAAGGGUUCCUGUCCAACGUUAAUCGGGGCAGGGUAAGUCGACCCCUAAGGCGAGGCCGAAAGGCGUAGUCGAUGGGAAACGGGUUAAUAUUCCCGUACUUCUUACAAUUGCGAUGGGGGGACGGAGAAGGCUAGGUGGGCCUGGCGACGGUUGUCCAGGUUCAAGUGCGUAGGCUUAAGA
Molecule: ribosomal RNA, 1478 nt
Filed under: Vibrio parahaemolyticus
Lineage: Bacteria; Pseudomonadati; Pseudomonadota; Gammaproteobacteria; Vibrionales; Vibrionaceae
Description: partial 23S ribosomal RNA
Rfam family: Bacterial large subunit ribosomal RNA
Source: RNAcentral